AUUGAACGCUGGCGGCAGGCUUAACACAUGCAAGUCGAGCGAGCGGCGGACGGGUGAGUAAUGUCUGGGAAACUGCCUGAUGGAGGGGGAUAACUACUGGAAACGGUAGCUAAUAACGCAUACUAUCUGUUGUGCCCAGCUGGGAUUAGCUAUUGGGUGGGGUAAUGGCUCACAUAGGCGACGAUCCCUAGCUGGUCUGAGAGGAUGACCGGCCACACGGGAACUGAGACACGGCCAAGACUCCUACGGGAGGCAGCAGUGGGGAAUAUUGCACAAUGGGCGAAAGCCGGAUGCAGCCAUGCCGCGGGUGUGAAGAAGGCCUUCGGGUUGUAAAGCACUUUCAGCGAGGAGGCGUUACUCGCAGAAGAAGCACCGGCUAACUCCGUGCCAGCAGCCGCGGUAAUUC
This 406-nucleotide ribosomal RNA is filed under the name uncultured bacterium. RNAcentral's name for it is "partial 16S ribosomal RNA". It matches the Rfam family "Bacterial small subunit ribosomal RNA", at positions 30 to 526 of the family's 1533-position model. The record is from RNAcentral.